Molecule: long non-coding RNA, 284 nt
Organism: Danio aesculapii
Lineage: Eukaryota; Metazoa; Chordata; Actinopteri; Cypriniformes; Danionidae
Exons: 6
Source: RefSeq, a predicted model, not a curated record
AUCCUCACCGGCAGAGAGGUGGCAGUGAAAAUCAUAGACAAGACUCAGCUCAACUCCUCCAGUCUUCAAAAGCUAUUUCGGGAAGUGAGGAUCAUGAAGCUCUUGAAUCACCCAAAUAUCGUGAAGUUAUUUGAAGUGAUUGAGACUGAGAAGACCCUCUACUUGGUGAUGGAAUAUGCCAGCGGAGGUGAGGUGUUUGAUUACCUCGUAGCCCACGGCAGAAUGAAAGAGAAAGAGGCCCGAGCCAAAUUCAGACAGAUUGUAUCAGCCGUGCAGUACUGUCA